RNAcentral lists this long non-coding RNA (734 nucleotides) under Eucalyptus grandis. RNAcentral describes it as "long non-coding RNA (EGRA_LNC005708)". Lineage: Eukaryota; Viridiplantae; Streptophyta; Magnoliopsida; Myrtales; Myrtaceae. The record is from RNAcentral.
UGGCGCAGCAAGGACAGCAGUAGGUCGUGCGGUGCGUUCGUUGGUUGCGGGGGACGCCGGUGAGAGGACAACGAUGACGCUAGUGCUCGGAGGUGCUGCAGGUGACGAUGGGCUUUGUGCAGCAGGAGGCAAAAGCGUUGCUGUUGGUCGCGAUCGCGGCAAAGGCGUCGAGUGUGGCAGCUAGUGCAGGUGUGGUGGAGGUGCAGGCACAUCGAAGCUGGUGUCGUCAAGUGCCGCGGCGUCAAGCUCGGCGAGAACAGGGAGAUUGGUGAGCGAAGCUGGACACAAGCACUGCAAGCGUUCGGGCUCGCGGGUCGCCGGAGGCAAGGCGUAGGCGUCGGGUACGGCGGGCUUCGGCCACCGAGCGAGCAGGAGGCGAGCUGCUAAGACUAAGGUCCGAGUGACGUGCAGUGGGGUCGCGGGUCACCGGUGUGAGGCGGUGCUGGUGAGGUGACCGGUGCGGCUCGGUGGCUUCGCGGCUGCGGGUGGAGGGUGGUGCCGCUGGUGCUCGAGCAGAUCUGGGCAGAGGGUUUGAGCGGAUCGGGAAGCGGCGCCGUCGGCAGAGGAGCGGCGGUCGGCGAUUCGGAGGUGGCUGGCGGCCCGGGCAGCAGGCGGUGUCCGGUGCUGUUAAUCGGAAGGUGGAGGCGCCACAAUGGUCGCGGUCGAGAGGAAGAAGAUGAGCAGUGUUCUGCUCUUUUCCCUUUUUCUGCUGCUGGGUCCCGCCGAUCCCCUCU